RNAcentral lists this ribosomal RNA (442 nucleotides) under uncultured bacterium. RNAcentral describes it as "partial 16S ribosomal RNA". It matches the Rfam family "Bacterial small subunit ribosomal RNA", at positions 338 to 795 of the family's 1533-position model. The record is from RNAcentral.
CCUACGGGAGGCAGCAGUGGGGAAUCUUGGGCAAUGGGCGCAAGCCUGACCCAGCAACGCCGCGUGAAGGAAGAAGGCUUUCGGGUUGUAAACUUCUUUUUAAAGGGAAGAGCAGAUGACGGUACCUCUUGUAUAAGCUACGGCUAACUCCGUGCCAGCAGCCGCGGUAAUACGUGGGUGGCAAGCGUUGUCCGGAUUUACUGGGUGUAAAGGGCGUGGAGCUGGGAAGACAAGUCAGAUGUGAAAUCCCGCGGCUCAACCGCGGUACUGCAUUUGAAACUGUUUGUCUUGAGUACCGGAGAGGUGAGCGGAAUUCCUGGUGUAGCGGUGAAAUGCGGAGAUAUAAGGAAGAACACCGGUGGCGAAGGCGGAUGACUGGACUGCAACUGACGGUGAGGCGCGAAAGCGUGGGGAGCAAACAGGAUUAGAUACCCGAGUAGUC